RNAcentral lists this unclassified non-coding RNA (218 nucleotides) under uncultured Borreliella sp. Its description in RNAcentral is "partial 5S-23S ribosomal RNA intergenic spacer". The record is from RNAcentral. Lineage: Bacteria; Pseudomonadati; Spirochaetota; Spirochaetia; Spirochaetales; Borreliaceae.
AGUAAGUUAUUGCCAGGGUUUUUAUUUUAUGCUUUAAACAUUGAUUUUAUUUUUUAUGUUUUUAGAUGUUCAUGUUUUUGAAUGUUUUAUUUAAAUAAUAUAAAAAAUAAAAUAUAUAUUGACAUGGAUUAAACAAAGAUAUAUAUUAUUCUAUGUUGCAUAAACAAAUUGGCAAAAUAGAGAUGGAAGAUAAAAAUAUGGUCAAAGUAAUAAGAGUC